This 341-nucleotide unclassified non-coding RNA is filed under the name Hevea brasiliensis (rubber tree). The record is from RNAcentral. Lineage: Eukaryota; Viridiplantae; Streptophyta; Magnoliopsida; Malpighiales; Euphorbiaceae.
UUUGCUAAUAAUCCAUAAACAUGAAAAUUUUCCAUGGACUAGAAUAUGUGCAGGUAAACUAAGUUGGCAUACUGAAAUGUACAAUUCUCCAGUCUCAUGAACUACUUUUUCAGCCUUGCAAAUCUUACAUCAGAGCUGUUAAAAUCCUCUCCAAGUUAAACGCGAAAAGGAAUCGCGUAAGUAAAUUUAAAUACAAGUUCCAAGGAUGCAAAACCGGUUGACAUCGCGAAGAUUCAACCUUUGCCAAGCAGACCAAAAAUCACACAGCAGAAAAUUCAAGUCCCGCCUUGUGGAGCAUCAAGAUUUCCUCCCUGUGCUACAUUGCCAUCAGUAACGGGGGG